Bombyx mori (domestic silkworm) is the source of this 8016-nucleotide RNA transcript. It is a transcript of the gene named actin-binding protein WASF2, with no coding region annotated. The transcript is spliced from 6 exons. The record is from RefSeq and is a predicted model, not a curated record. Lineage: Eukaryota; Metazoa; Arthropoda; Insecta; Lepidoptera; Bombycidae.
ACGGACAAAACUCCUUGAGCUUUCACGGGAUCUGUCGAUGGUUCUCGACGACCUCCUAUGGCUGGAGCGGCAGGGGCUGAGUUUUCCAUUGAAAACUUGUGUUGAUUCUAAGUGAUUUAGAACAGAACUUAAAAAAUCAGAAAAUACACAACAGAUGCUUUCUAACUUGUCGCUAAGUGAAGCUAUUGAUCAAACAGUAGUGGAAAACUAAAUUAUCCCGUUCGAAGUAAUCUUAAGUAAUCAUAAUAUUGUAAAUUCAAAAAAUAAAUUUGCUUAAAAAUAAGUUAAAGAUUAUAGAAUUAAUUAAAAAAUUUAACUGACAAAAAAGUCAGUGAAAAUAUUCUGCCUAUUUCUGUCGGGAGGCCACUCCGCGCUCCAAUCCGAACGAUUGGACUGUCAUUUUUUUAUUGCAUAAGUGAGUGAGGAAAAAAAACGCGGGAAACCUUUGAAUUUGGCGGGCGCGGUUUUUGUUUGAAUUUGUUGAAAAAUAUUUUUUUUUAAUCUAUUAAGUGAUCAGAAUAGUUAAAACUUGUAUAUAUUUGUAAUUUUUAUUAUUAUUUAAAUUUUUUUGUAUUUUAUUCUUUUUUUCUUCGAGUUGGGGUAAGUUUUUUAUAUUUAUAUGAACGAGCCUCCGGACCCGGGGGGCACAGCGCCCCCCGCGGUUGCAUUUGUCACAAUCUCCAACGAAUCCGGAAUGGAUUCUGACUGCUCUUUGGUGUCUAAAAGGAAGCUGAAGCGUAACCAGCUCCACAAAAUUUGUAAAAAUUGUAACAAAAGGAAAAGAAAAAAUAAUACAGAAACAUUUAAACAAUCGGACUGUCAAUGCAAAGACGAAUUUACUGAGAGCACUAUUGAUUUGCCUGCACCUGGUCCUUGCACUGAUACAUCUUCAAAGCCCGUUCCUCCCACUGAUAUGUCUCAUAAAGCCUCCACACAAAUUGGUAGGGCUAGUUAUGAUGCCAAUGACCACGGCCCGUUUGUGGUACACGUGCAGAAAAUACAGUCUGCUGAUGAUGAUGGUACAACAUUACACCCAGUUGUGUUUGGCAGAUUUUUAAAAAAAAAUUUUUUCAAAAAUAUUGUUAACGGAAGUUUGAAACGUAUUGGCCGAAAUAAAAUGACACUUUCUUUUAAUAAUUAUACAGACGCUAACAGCUUUGUCACUUCAAACUGCUUAGCUACAAACAACAUGAAGGCUUUUAUCCCAACUUUUAACAUUAUGAGGAUGGGUUUAGUUAGGGGAGUCCCAACUGAGUGGUCCCCUGAAGAUAUUAUGCAGAACACUAAUGUACCCAUUGGGUGUGGGGAAAUUCUGAAAAUUAGAAGACUAAACUAUAAAGUCAUGAUAAACAACACACCCACAUGGAAACCUUCGCAAACAGUCGUGUUUACAUUUGAUGGACAAGUUUUGCCCAAACGUGUAUUUAUGUGUUAUAAUUCUAUGCCUGUUAAAUUGUAUAUAUACCCAACCAUCCAGUGCUUUAAUUGUUGCCGCUUUGGGCACACCAAGGUCCAAUGUAGGUCAAAGCCCAGGUGCUUCAAGUGUGGUCAGGGCCACACUGGAGAUACUUGUAAUGUGGAGGAAGACUGUGUAUCUUGCUGCUUAUGUUCUGGGCUGCACUUUGCUUCGAGCAAAAAGUGUCCAGAGUACGUGAGACAAACAGAUAUUAAAGUAACAAUGGCAGAGAAUAGCUUAUCCUAUAUUGAAGCGUCAAAAUUACAUCCCCCCAUUUCUAAAUCAUUUGCUGAUAUUGUAUCCUCUCUCCCAACUAAAUCUGUUCCUGGUGGAAAUACAGUAUUGCCUGGUUCACCAUCCUCACGUACAAUAUCUUAUAAAAAAACAGUCUUCACUAAACCCAGAACUCCUCCUCAACACAGUAAAGGUUUUGAUCAUGUAGCACAUGAGUCUCUUGUAAGGGACUACAAUAUGCCAGAGCCUUCUAAUGGAUGUGCAUUACCAUCCUCGUCUAAUGCAAAUUCACAACAGACAAUAGCAGAGUUAAUUACUAUAUUGAUCAAAUUACUUUCUGAACCCAAUUUAUCUAUACCGUCCCACGCUGCUAAUUUAAUUCGUACUUAUACUAAUAUUAAUAAUGGCCAACAUGGACAAGUUAGUUCAAUGGAAUUGCCGCAGUAUUAUAAACAAAAAGCAUGAAAUUAUACAUAUUAUAAAUACUUUUAAUCCUUUUAUAUUUUCUCUAUCUGAAACCUGGCUAAAGCCAGAUUUUGUAUUCAAAAUCCCUGGUUAUUCGUGCUUAAGAGAAGACAGGGCUGAUGGAUAUGGUGGUGUAUGCCUACUCAUCAGAAACUCUAGCACCUUUUCUUCCUUCCCUCUCCCUUCACAUAGUAACUGCUUUUCUGUCAUUGCAGCUAUUGUUGAUGGUAUCUGUUUUGUCUCUAUCUAUGUCCCUCAUCCCUCCUUGCAAAUCUUCAAUGAAAUUAAAAACUUCAUUUCAGUUCUUCCUCGGCCUUUCAUGAUUCUGGGUGAUUUCAACUCUCAUCACACAUCUUGGGGUAGUUCAGUAUCUAAUAGUUAUGGUUAUGAAUUAUUAGAUAUCUUAGACAUGUAUAGCCUGUGCAUUUUAAACUCGGGUUCUCCUACUCGCCUCACAAAGCCUGGUGAAGUAAUUAGUGCCAUUGAUCUGUCCAUUUGUACUCCCCAGUUAGCAUCUUCUCUAUCUUGGUCUACUUUGUGUUCCACUUAUAAUAGUGAUCACUAUCCCAUAAUCAUUUCAUUUCCCUGUAAAAAAAAGGAUACAAUGUGUAUUCAAAACUCUCGCCUCAAACACAAAAUCAUAGACUCUAAAUGGAGUCAAUACACGUUAUUAAUAGAAGAGAAAAUUAAUAAUUGCUCAGAAGUUAAUGUCAUAGAUAAUAAUUAUUUCAAAGCUAUUUUGUUAGAAUCGGCUGAUAAUGUUUUUCCAAAGAAAAAGCCGUGUAGUAAUAAGUUGUCAUCUCCACCGUGGUGGGAUGAAGAAUGUACCAAUGCUAUAAAGAAACGCAAGGCAGCAGAGCGUAAUUAUCACAAUAAUAUGUCUAUGAAAAACUACGAGGCAUUAAUGACUAUAAUGAAAGAGGUUAGAAAACUAUUUAAAAAAAAGAAAUUUGACGGGUGGAGGAAAUUUUGUAGCACUAUAUCACCUGAAACACAUGCUACUGUCAUAUGGCGAAAUAUCAAAAGAUUUAGAUCAGCUGUCAAUCCUUCUAACGCAUUGUUGCUGCCUAUAGAAUUAGCAGAUCAAUUCCUUGAUCGUUUGGCUCCUCCUUCUGCUCCACUCAACGAUCCUAUCCUGUCUUAUAAGCAAUAUAACUCUGAUGCCCCUUCUUCUCUAAAUCUAACUUUUACGUUAGGGGAGUUAAAAGGUGUAUUAAAUCACGUCAAAGACAGUGCUCCAGGGGAAGAUGGGAUUCCAUAUUCCUUUUUGUCUCACCUUGGCGAAAAAGGAUUAAAUUACUUUUUAAAUUUAAUAAAUAAAAUUUUACUGACAGGUGACAUUCCACCGUCAUGGCGAAGUCAAAUAGUAUUGCCAUUUUUAAAGCCGUCUAAGGUACAAUCUGAUAUCAAAUCAUAUCGUCCGAUAGUUUUGUCAUCGGUGAUCACAAAAGUUGUUGAACAUUUAAUUAAAAAUCGGCUUGAAUGGUAUAUAGAAAAUAACGAAUAUCUGUCCCAAACUCAGUUUGGAUUUCGAAAAGGUAAAAGUGUGGGGGACAAUUUAGGCAUAUUAGUUACGGAUAUUCGUAAUGCUUUCUCAGAUAAAAAGUCAGUAGUUGCUGCUUUUUUGGAUAUUAAUUCGGCUUAUGAUAACGUUCUAUUACAUAUUCUAAAAAGUAAAUUAGAUAAAUUAAAGGUUCCCUAUUUUUUAACUAAUUCCAUUGUAAAUCUUCUUUCGGAGAGGAAAAUUAUUUUAGAUGUUGGCGGCCCUUAUAAGCCUAGUAGGCUGGUAUGGAGAGGUUUGCCACAGGGGUCUGUUCUGAGUCCUUUAUUGUACAAUAUUUAUACAUAUGAUCUAGAAGGUUCAGUCGGAGAUUCAGCAAGUUUAUUACAGUAUGCCGAUGACUUGGUUAUUUAUGCCUCUGAUAUGUCUGUAAGUACUGCUGAACGAUAUGUUUCCUCCUCUUUAUCUUUGCUAAAAAUCUGGAUGGAUGCAAAUGGCCUUGAUCUGUCUCCCUCAAAAAGUACUGUUGUACUUUUCACCAAAUCCCGUACUCCUUGCUCACUUAAUAUAACAUAUGAUGGGGAUAUAUUACCCAUUAGGAAUCAAGUUAAGUUCUUAGGAGCUAUUCUUGAUUCUAAACUAACGGGUCAACCACACUGCGAAUUUGUGGUUAGUAAAUGUGAGCGAAACUUGAACAUGCUGAGAUGUCUCGGUGGGGUUUGGUGGGGUGCUCACCCGGCUACACUGAGGUUGGUGUAUAAUGCUGUCAUUAGAAGUGUACUGGAUUUUGGGACCUUUUUCUUAGACCCAGGUAAUGUGGCUGGCUUUAGAAAACUAGAUCUCAUACAGUCUAGGGCUUUGAGGAUUGUUUCUGGUGCCAUGAAAUCGAGUCCGGUUAAUGCUCUGCAAAUAGAAUGUUGUGACCCUCCUUUAAACUUAAGACGUCAAUAUCUGUCCGAUAGAUUCAUUUUUAGAAUUGUUCAGUUCCAUAAUCAUCCCCUCAUUUCGAAACUAGAGUUUCUUUCUAAAAAAGUACCCUCUUCACAUAAACCUUUACCUUGUCUGUUAAAAAGUUUCCUGAAAUUCAAACAAUUACAAGCCCCAACUCAUUCUUUUCAGGUGCUUCCUUUAUUUGGCGCUUCUUAUGAUUCUCUCUUACUUUCUCCAGUGAUUUGCUUUUCUCUUGGCAUUGAAAAAUCUGAUUUUAAUGCCAAUGAAAAUUUUAAUUGCAAUGUCAAUAGUAAAUGGCCUAACUGGCAUCAAAUUUAUACAGAUGCAUCUAAACACUCCAGUGGGUGUGUUGGUGUUGGAGUGUAUCACAAACAGUACAACAUAGUUCAGAAAAUUAAAUUACCUCCGGAAUCAUCGGUCUUUACCGGUGAAUGUUUUGGACUAUUAAAAGCUCUUGAAUAUGUGCUGUCUUUCAAACUAAAAAAAACCGUUAUAUUUACUGAUUCCUUAAGUGCAUUACAGAGCUUAGCAAAAUUUUCACUAAAACUUAACCCUUUUUUUCAUGUAAUAUUUGAAUGUAAGAGAAAGCUGUUGCACUGCCAAUCACACAACUAUUUAGUAUCAUUUUGUUGGGUACCUAGUCACUGUGGCAUAUCUGGAAAUGUGAAAGCUGACAGUUUGGCCAACAGUGCUACUGUGACCGGUGACGUAUACCCGUACAAGAAUUUUGGCCAUGAUCUUGCUGCUUUGCCCGGCAUAUGCCUCCACAAAUCGUGGAAUAUGUGUUGGGAAGAGAGCGGCCGGAUUAAGGGUCGUUUCUUGUAUGCUAUACAGUCUUCCGUUCCCAGGAAGCCAUGGUUUGCCAAAUUGUCGUUUGGUAAAACCGCCACUUCUACUAUAAUUCGUAUGCGUCUGGGACAUAACAGCCUUCCAGUUCAUUUGCACAAACUUGGUAUCGUAACUAGUACCGCCUGUGAGUGUGGCGAGAGUUAUUGUGACCUGAAUCAUAUUUUCUUUUCUUGUUCUUUAUAUGAUCAUUCUUCCUUAUAUACUUCUUUAGUAUCUCUCUCUGUUCCCCUUCCUACUAAUAUUUCUUUACUUCUUCGAGAUUUUAAUCCCCUUGUAUAUAGUAUUUUAAGUAGGUUUAUAUUAAAUAAUAACAUUAAACUAUAAUUUUGAUUUAUUUUCCCUGUUAUAUAAUUAUUCUGAUUUUUUUUGUAAAUUCAAUUCGUUCUAAAUCAUUUAUGUUUUGUUGCGAUAAGUUUCCUUCGUUUUUUAUUAUUUAUAAACUGUAAAUAAAUAAAACGGCGAAUUAUAAAAACGUUAUUACUUGACGCUGGCUAAUGCACAAAACGUGCCAGAGCCAAAAAUAAAGAAGAAGAAGAAGAAGUGAGUGAGAGACAACCAUAGAGUUACUACUACUUAUUAACUCCAUGGAGACAACCAUAGAGUUAUAGGUACUUAUUAACUCCAUGGAGACAACACAAUGUGUAUGCCGUCAUGAAACAUAAAGGUCAUUUUCAAUUUUAUUGUAUAGAGGAUGUCCGAUCCGUAUAGUGGAAUAGAAUAAUAAUAUCCGUUAGUCGUCAGUGACUACGAUAAUUGUAUAGUAUUCGGAAAUAAUAUAAUGAGAAUAAAAAUGCGAUAUUAAACCGUAAAACUGGUUUUAGUUCUAUAUACAACUUUAUGUGCACAAUAACCCGAAGUGUGUCUCGGCCUCCGACAUCAGAGAACGCCAUCGAUGAGUCAGAAACAGACUGCACAAUUCAGACUCCCUAUAACUAGUUGGCUUUUUUUUUCAUUUCUUAUUAAGGCUUUCCCAACUCUUCAAAUUUGAACGCAUUACUGCUUCGCGGCUUAAUUUACUAAUGUCUUUACGAAAAAAAGAAAGGAUUGGUUUAAACGUAAAGAAUCAUAUCAAAGUAAUGAGAAAAUUCGACCGACUACUCCAUUUUCGACGACGACGGAUUGGGUUACGCCCACCGAAACUUUCGACAUAAUCACUGAAGCAUUUAUAACAACGCCUGAGGAAGCUGAAGGUGAACACAAAAUUGAAGAAUGUGGGCCCGGUGAAAGUGCUUACAGCGAAAGUGACCUGAAAUCAAUCAUCAAUCAUAAGGAAUUAGAUAUGAAUAUUCAAAAAUCCUUGAAUGACAGCAACUUCCGUAACACAUCAAUUAUACUGAAAAGUUUUCAAGAAAAAUACAAAGUCAUCGAAGAUAGAUUUGAAAAUAGUCCUCGUCAUUUGAUUCAUAUUUUGGAUGACAUGGUACAGGGGCGAGCUAAACUUGAACCUUUGGUUAACAAAACUGUACUUUUAUUGAAACAGUUUCCUUCGUUAGAACGGGAUUUCAAUGCUGCACUAAACGAAACGAAUAAGUAUAUUUCCAAUUUAGGGAAAUUAAAGAUUUUGUGUGAAUCGAACUGUGAAUUGACAGGAGUUCAAAACAGAAUGCUGAGCAAUAGACAACAGAUCACAAAAGACGAGAAGUUUUACUGUUCUACUUAUAACGAAAUAAAUAAAGUAAUAAUGGAAACGAUGACAGAAUUUCAACCAACAUUUAUCGCUGAAUUGAAUAAAAUACGUGAGGAAAAUGUAAAAAAUAUUGAAGAGAAAAGCACACAGUUUUCAACAAAACUUAAAGAGGCGGCGGUAGAAAGGUUCGGAGUUACAAUGCAUGACAUAUUGGGUCUUCAAGAUAACUAUGUCCACUUUUCGAAUUAUAUUCAAGAUUCUAAAAUAUCUGAUGAGCUACAACUAAUAAAACAAAAUAAUUUUCAUAUUAAUUCCAAAUUAGUCGACCUAGAUAAAAUGGUAACUAAAUACAGAGACUACUGUCUUCAUUGUCACGAAAACCAUAUUAUCAGGCGAGCUGCCUUCAAGAUUGGCCCUAUACCCGACGUGAAUAAUUUAAACGAUAAACCAAAUACCGAACCUCCUAAAAAAAUUAUUGAAAAACUGCUACAUCAGAAAAUCUUAGAGAUAGAAGAUGUGAUCAAAGGACAGGACGAAGAAAAUUUUAAAUCCAUUUUUAAAUUAUUGGAUGACGAAAAAACUGUUGAAAAUUACUUAGCCAAAUUACAGCCGCUAAAGGAAAAUGUGGCUUAUAAAGUACAAAGAGAAAUUGAAAUUUUGGAUUCGCUACAGAAUGAAGUACCGAAGUCUUCUAUUGACAACGUAUCUGCGCUGACGGAAAAAACAAAAGAAACUUUGAAAAUUAUAGACGACGCCUUGGAAUUCAUUAGGACUAGCAUCAAAUAAUUUGAUAAAAAAGUAACGGAUGAAAGGCUUGUAAUUAUAAAUUAAGUGAUUUUUUUUAUUAAGAAAGCCAUUUCUAAGCCUUAUAAUAUUUGUAAAACUUAAAUUAAAAAGUCAUAAUAAACUUCUAAAAUUCUUGCAAAAUUAUAA